RNAcentral lists this ribosomal RNA (253 nucleotides) under uncultured bacterium. RNAcentral describes it as "partial 16S ribosomal RNA". It matches the Rfam family "Bacterial small subunit ribosomal RNA", at positions 524 to 776 of the family's 1533-position model. RNAcentral also lists the same sequence under 1 other name. The record is from RNAcentral.
UACGUAGGGUGCAAGCGUUGUUCGGAAUUACUGGGCGUAAAGCGCGCGUAGGCGGAUUGGAAAGUCGAUUGUGAAAUCCCUGGGCUCAACCUGGGAAUUGCAGUCGAAACUCCCAAUCUUGAGUGCCUGAGAGGAUGGCGGAAUUCCCGGUGUAGUAGUGAAAUACGUAGAUAUCGGGAAGAACACCUGAGGCGAAGGCGGCUAUCUGGCGGUGCACUGACGCUGAGGCGCGAAAGCGUGGGGAGCAAACAGG